GAUGAACGCUAGCGGCAGGCUUAAUACAUGCAAGUCGAGGGGUAACAGGGGUAGCAAUACCUGCUGACGACCGGCAAACGGGUGCGGAACACGUACGCAACCUUCCCAAAACUGGUGAAUAGCCCUCCGAAAGGAGGAUUAAUACACCGUAACAUAAUGAAGUGGCAUCACUUUAUUAUUAUAGCUCCGGCGGUUUUGGAUGGGCGUGCGCCUGAUUAGGUAGUUGGCGGGGUAACGGCCCACCAAGCCUGCGAUCAGUAACUGGUGUGAGAGCACGACCAGUCACACGGGCACUGAGACACGGGCCCGACUCUACGGGAGGCAGCAGUAAGGAAUAUUGGUUCAAUGGCGAAAGUCUGAACCAGCCAUGCCGCGUGAAGGAUGAAGGCCCUCUGGGUUGUAAACUUCUUUAUCUGGGACGAAAAACAGGGA
RNAcentral lists this ribosomal RNA (432 nucleotides) under uncultured bacterium. RNAcentral describes it as "bacterial SSU rRNA". It matches the Rfam family "Bacterial small subunit ribosomal RNA", at positions 28 to 458 of the family's 1533-position model. The record is from RNAcentral.